This 73-nucleotide ribosomal RNA is filed under the name Trichoderma koningiopsis. RNAcentral's name for it is "partial 28S ribosomal RNA". The record is from RNAcentral. Lineage: Eukaryota; Fungi; Ascomycota; Sordariomycetes; Hypocreales; Hypocreaceae.
UGACUUGGGUCAGGAGAGUAUAACCCCUGAACUUUCGCUCUCAAGACCCCAGAGAGAAUCAUUACGAGUUACA